RNAcentral lists this transfer RNA (76 nucleotides) under Paraburkholderia ginsengiterrae. Its description in RNAcentral is "tRNA-Val". It matches the Rfam family "tRNA". Rfam says of the family: Transfer RNA (tRNA) molecules are approximately 80 nucleotides in length. Their secondary structure includes four short double-helical elements and three loops (D, anti-codon, and T loops). The record is from RNAcentral. Lineage: Bacteria; Pseudomonadati; Pseudomonadota; Betaproteobacteria; Burkholderiales; Burkholderiaceae.
GGGUGCUUAGCUCAGUUGGUAGAGCAGCGCCCUUACAAGGCGUAGGUCGGGAGUUCGAGCCUCUCAGCACCCACCA